RNAcentral lists this non-coding RNA (214 nucleotides) under Carnobacterium maltaromaticum. Its description in RNAcentral is "T-box". It matches the Rfam family "T-box leader". From Rfam's summary of the family: Uncharged tRNA acts as the effector for transcription antitermination of genes in the T-box leader family. T-boxes are found upstream of many aminoacyl-tRNA synthetase genes and some amino acid biosynthetic genes usually in Gram-positive bacteria. The anticodon of a specific tRNA base pairs to a specifier sequence within the T-box motif, and the NCCA acceptor tail of the tRNA base pairs to a conserved bulge in the T-box antiterminator hairpin. Lineage: Bacteria; Bacillati; Bacillota; Bacilli; Lactobacillales; Carnobacteriaceae. The record is from RNAcentral.
AAAUAUCCGAUGAAAGAGCGAGUAAAUAAUGGAUAAUGUGUAGAUAGAGAGAAUUAGCGUGGCUGAAACUAAUUCCCGUUUGUAUUAUUGAAAGACACUCUGGAGGACUAGCAAUACAAAGUUGCUACGUUACGAGCGUUAAUCGUUGAGGAAAGCAUGAAGCUUUCAAAAAAAAGGUGGUACCACGGUCUAUUCAUAUACACUCGUCCUUAUU